CAAAAGAGCCACGCCCCUUUUCUCAGAAAGCAUGGAGGACCCUAACUUAUGGAAGAAAGGUGGAGGGGAGUUGUUGCUGAAUUCCUUUGAGGCGAAACAAGGAGGGGAAUUCAGGGAAGGAAAAAGAAAAGAUGUAAUCCCUGAAACACGCGAGUGCUUGACAUAAACAAACACACUGGGAGGAUUUCAAAGGAACGGCCGCUUCCCGGGAACCCUCUCAUGUGCAGAUGGUGAGAUAAGGAAGCAAAUGCAGAGCAGAGAGGGUUCCUUUGGAUUGUUCAUGUCGGCUCCAUAAUCACAUUCAAUAUCUAUGAUAAUUGCUACACUGAUGACACUCGACUCUACCCUUCAAUCCCCCUUUUUAUUUUAUUUUUUUCAAACACUUCUUGAUGUGUUCAUCGUGUCUCUCCGGUUGACAUCCCCAGCUGGAUGUCUGCCCUCCACCUCCAGCUGAAACCUGACAAGACUGAGCUGCUGUAGACACAAAAUGUCUUCUGCUCUUUGUCACUAUUCACAUCAGCACAAUGCCUCCUGUCAGGACAAACAAGUGUCUGGGUGUGAGCCUUGACAACUGUCAGGGCAACCAAUAAAUAAGAUUUGACAAGACUGUGGUGGGCGGGGAAAAAAAGAGGAUUUUGUUCAUCUGAAGGAGCCAUGAGUCAAGAUUUGAUCCUUGAUUUUAUGUCAAACUAUCUAAGGUUAUUUUGUCUUUCUUCGUUGAGCCUAAAUCCUCGGGAAGAUGCUCUGAGGUGGAUUCUGCUUAAGCACAGUCAGGACAACUUUGCCUAGUGUGAGUACGUCCUAAGACUCUGUGGUCCGCAACUUCAGAGCACUGGAUUCUUGUGUGCCUUAUAAUAAUCAUUCACUAUUAUUCAACAAAAUAUGGUGUAACUAAAUUAGAUUUUAAUGUCUUAUUUUUGCUUUAUGUCAAAUUGCUGCAUUUAUUUUGGAUCUUAUUACAUUUUUUUAAACAUAUUUUCAUAUUUUAUCGUCUCUGUGAUUUUUUGAUGGUUGGU
This is a non-coding RNA of Labrus bergylta (ballan wrasse), 1016 nucleotides long. NCBI's taxonomy places the organism in Eukaryota, Metazoa, Chordata, Actinopteri, Labriformes, Labridae. The record is from RefSeq and is a predicted model, not a curated record.